RNAcentral lists this ribosomal RNA (466 nucleotides) under uncultured bacterium. RNAcentral's name for it is "partial 16S ribosomal RNA". It matches the Rfam family "Bacterial small subunit ribosomal RNA", at positions 28 to 507 of the family's 1533-position model. The record is from RNAcentral.
GACGAACGCUGGCGGCGCGCCUAACACAUGCAAGUCGAACGAGCGAGAGGAGGUUUACUUUCUCAAGCGAGUGGCGAACGGGUGAGUAACGCGUGAGGAACCUGCCUCAAAGAGGGGGACAACAGUUGGAAACGACUGCUAAUACCGCAUAAGCCCACGACCCGGCAUCGGGUAGAGGGAAAAGGAGCAAUCCGCUUUGAGAUGGCCUCGCGUCCGAUUAGCUAGUUGGUGAGGUAAUGGCCCACCAAGGCGACGAUCGGUAGCCGGACUGAGAGGUUGAACGGCCACAUUGGGACUGAGACACGGCCCAGACUCCUACGGGAGGCAGCAGUGGGGAAUAUUGCACAAUGGGGGAAACCCUGAUGCAGCGACGCCGCGUGGAGGAAGAAGGUCUUCGGAUUGUAAACUCCUGUUGUUGGGGAAGAUAAUGACGGUACUCAACAAGGAAGUGACGGCUAACUACGUG